Molecule: ribosomal RNA, 244 nt
Filed under: uncultured bacterium
Lineage: Bacteria
Description: partial small subunit ribosomal RNA
Rfam family: Bacterial small subunit ribosomal RNA
Source: RNAcentral
AGAAUCAACGCUGGCGGCGUGCCUAACACAUGCAAGUCGCACGAGAAAGUGGAGCAAUCCAUGAGUAAAGUGGCGCACGGGUGAGUAACACGUGACUAACCUACCUUUUAGUGGGGGAUAACCUAGGGAAACCUGGGCUAAUACCGCGUAACACUUACGAGUCAAAGCAGCGAUGCGCUGAAAGGGGGGGUCGCGGCCGAUUAGCUAGUUGGCGGGGUAAUGGCCCACAAGGCGAUGAUCGGUA